This is an RNA transcript of Etheostoma spectabile (orangethroat darter), 1318 nucleotides long. It is a transcript of the gene named cytoglobin-1, with no coding region annotated. Lineage: Eukaryota; Metazoa; Chordata; Actinopteri; Perciformes; Percidae. The record is from RefSeq and is a predicted model, not a curated record. The transcript has 5 exons.
UCGCUGCGUGUGUUUCUUGUGGGUUUUUUUCAGCCUGUUCUUCACUCACACUCUCGCUCAGCAGAGAUUCAAAGGUGGAGAGCAAAGAUUGUCACCCGGAAUAAAGGGGGGAAGGGAAACAGGUUUUCUUCCUCUCUCACCAAGAAAGAGACACAAACAAGGCAAAAGAUGGAGAGGAUGCAGGCAAAGGAAGAGGGGGACCACCUGGAGCGACCAAGCCCACUGACUGAUAAGGAGAGGGUGAUGAUCCAGGACUCCUGGGCAAAAGUCUACCAGAACUGUGAAGACGUUGGGGUGGCCAUACUAAUCAGGCUGUUUGUGAACUUUCCCUCAUCCAAGCAGUACUUCAGCCAGUUCAAGAACAUCGAGGACCCGGAGGAGCUGGAGAGGAGUGCCCAGCUCAAGAAGCAUGCUCACAGAGUCAUGAAUGCCCUGAAUACAGUGGUGGAGAGCCUGGACAACUCAGACAAGGUGGCCUCAGUGCUGAAGGUGGUGGGCAAGGCACAUGCACUCCGACACAAGGUGGAGCCUGUAUACUUUAAGAUCCUGAGUGGCGUGAUACUGGAGGUCCUAGGAGAAGAGUUUUCCGAGGUUAUGACACCAGAGGUGGCCGCUGCGUGGACCAAACUCUUCGCUACGGUCUACUUCAGCAUCACAGCCAUCUAUGAGGAAGUGGGCUGGACGAAGCUCUCAACCUCAACCGGGUGAAGCUUUUAGUAUGGGUUUAUUGGACGGUGAACUCACAGAUACUUCUGUGUGGGCCACGGCCUCAUAAGAGAGGGGGACUUUGACUGUACUGACCUUUGAAGGGAACCAAUGUAUCUGGGGAAUACAGUUUCAUGUAAUCUGAUUGUGGGCUGUAUGACAUAAUAUACUUUAAAUAAGAACAGGAAUUGGGUUCUUUUAUGGCUAAUACUGUGUGUGUGUGUGUGUGUGUGUGUGUGUGUGUGUGUGUGUGUGUGUUAGAGAGAGAGAGAGAGAGAGGUUAAACCUCUCUCCUUGUUUUUAUACUCAUUUUUAAAAGGAGAGAGCAAAGAUGAAGAAAAUGCUAACUUUAACCCAACAAUGGACAAGAGGUCACAUUUGACUUGGACGUGCCUUCUACUGAAUGUGUAUCUAAUAAAACUGCCAUGCAAAUACUGUUCUUUCUUAAUAUCAUGUGGCAUUUGCUUUUAUCAGUCUGUGCCCACAUGGCGCUGUUCACUAGAUAUAGACAGAGAUAUUAAGAAGACAUGUUUACAUUUUGAACAGUUAAUUGUGAUGAUUGUACAUUUUUUUCAUCAUGACUCACCUUUGUAUUCAACAGAAUUUUGAAAUA